AAAGAAGGGUCGAUCCUUGCGUCAAGAAUUUCUUCUGCGUGAGCAUAUCCUACGGGUACCUACAGUGUAGGAUAACUCUCUGAAUUCUGACCAGCAGCGUCGGUAAAUGCGAGAGAUGGGGUCCAUGGGGAGAGCAGAGGUUGCAUGGGCGAGCUGCAGAAGCGGCCUAUUUUCUGGCUUAUGAAAUUAGUCGUGCACAUCACGGGUUGACCGCUGAAUCACCAGUCCGUUGUUGGUUCAUUUUAUUUUGACAAACAUACUUACAUACAUACACACUUGAUUCGAACUCGCUGACUGAAAAGCAAUAACACAUGGCAAAUGUAGUAUACUGCACUAUGUUAACGCGUCCUUUGGCGCUCAGCCGCUCACCACACGAAAUCCCCAGCUUACAUAUAUACGGCAAACAAUGAAGAAAACCAAUCCAAUUGUUGUACAUAUAUAUGUUUAACUAAGCAGAAGUGCGGGCGUGGUCCUCCGGACGACGCACGUCGGUCGGCGCCUCGAUAAACUCCGACCACGGGCCACGGUGGCGGCUGGCGUCGGCGUCGGCCGCUCCGGCCGGCAGCUCCCGGUAGUCUAUGAGGUGGCACCUGCUGCCGCUGCCGCCGUGGGAGCUGCCGUCCGACGACGCGCGGCGGUAGCUGUCCCUCCCGUGGCUCUUCCUGAUGGCGUCGAUCACGAACGGGAUCAGCCCUUCCAUUGCUCAAACCAAACACCACCACCCGUGCCUUCUUCUUCUUCCUCCGGCUGCUGUUCCUGCGCUGGGUAUCCUUUGCGAAGUUGUUAGCUUGUGCUUCUGUCACCUGGGAGACCGGGGCCUAUUUAUGGAGCCAAGCUAGCGGCCGGGGCGCGCGCGUGCGUUUGAUGGCUGGCGG
This 875-nucleotide long non-coding RNA is filed under the name Hordeum vulgare. Its description in RNAcentral is "long non-coding RNA (HVUL_LNC003385)". The record is from RNAcentral. Lineage: Eukaryota; Viridiplantae; Streptophyta; Magnoliopsida; Poales; Poaceae.